Molecule: ribosomal RNA, 477 nt
Filed under: uncultured bacterium
Lineage: Bacteria
Description: partial 16S ribosomal RNA
Rfam family: Bacterial small subunit ribosomal RNA
Source: RNAcentral
AUGAACGCUGGCGGCGUGCUUAACACAUGCAAGUCGAACGAGAAGUGAAGACGGAACCCUUCGGGCGGAAGGCUUUAUUUCGAGUGGCGGACGGGUGAGUAACGCGUGGGUAACCUGCCUCAUACAGGGGGAUAACAGUUGGAAACGACUGUUAAUACCGCAUAAGACCACAGCACCGCAUGGUGCGGGGGUAAAAACUCCGGUGGUAUGAGAUGGACCCGCGUUCGAUUAGCCAGUUGGCGGGGUAACGGCCCACCAAAGCGACGAUCGAUAGCCGAUCUGAGAGGAUGACCGGCCACAUUGGGACUGAGACACGGCCCAAACUCCUACGGGAGGCAGCAGUGGGGAAUAUUGCACAAUGGGGGAAACCCUGAUGCAGCGACGCCGCGUGAGUGAAGAAGUAUUUCGGUAUGUAAAGCUCUAUCAGCAGGGAAGAAAAUGACGGUACCUGAGUAAGAAGCCCCGGCUAACUACGUG